GCCUAGCUUGCUAGGUGGAUUAGUGGCGCACGGGUGAGUAAUAUAUAGAUAACGUGCCUCUUAGUCUGGGAUAGCCAUUGGAAACGAUGAUUAUUACUAGAUACUCCUUCUAACUCUAAUGUUAGUUGGGAAAGUUUUUCGCUAAGAGAUCGGUCUAUAUCCCAUCAGCUAGUUGGUAGUGUAAGAGACUACCAAGGCAAUGACGGGUAGCGGGUUUGAGAGGAUGAUCCGCCACACUGGUACUGAGACACGGACCAGACUCCUACGGGAGGCAGCAGUGAGGAAUAUUGCACAAUGGAGGAAACUCUGAUGCAGCAACGCCGCGUGGAGGAUGACGCAUUUCGGUGUGUAAACUCCUUUUAUAUGUCAAGAAAAUGACGGUAGCAUAUGAAUAAGCACCGGCUAACUCCGUGCCAGCAGCCGCGGUAAUACGGAGGGUGCAAGCGUUAUUCGGAAUCACUGGGCGUAAAGGACGCGUAGGCGGGAUGCCAAGUCUGAUGU
Molecule: ribosomal RNA, 501 nt
Filed under: uncultured Campylobacterota bacterium
Lineage: Bacteria; Pseudomonadati; Campylobacterota
Description: bacterial SSU rRNA
Rfam family: Bacterial small subunit ribosomal RNA
Source: RNAcentral